GAGACGCACCAGGGGUGCCUGUGCUCUGCUUUGCACCGGCAUAUUGGCCGGAACGCAGGCAGGCCAGGCUGAGACAGUCCCUUUGAACCUGAACAGGAUAAUGCCUGCGUAGGGAGUGUGCAUUUCUCUUCCU
This 133-nucleotide non-coding RNA is filed under the name Morus notabilis. Its description in RNAcentral is "TPP sequence". It matches the Rfam family "TPP riboswitch aptamer (THI element)". From Rfam's summary of the family: Vitamin B(1) in its active form thiamin pyrophosphate (TPP) is an essential coenzyme that is synthesised by coupling of pyrimidine and thiazole moieties in bacteria. The previously detected thiamin-regulatory element, thi box was extended, resulting in a new, highly conserved RNA secondary structure, the THI element, which is widely distributed in eubacteria and also occurs in some archaea. Analysis of operon structures identified a large number of new candidate thiamin-regulated genes, mostly transporters, in various prokaryotic organisms. The record is from Rfam by way of RNAcentral. Lineage: Eukaryota; Viridiplantae; Streptophyta; Magnoliopsida; Rosales; Moraceae.